Molecule: ribosomal RNA, 253 nt
Filed under: uncultured bacterium
Lineage: Bacteria
Description: partial 16S ribosomal RNA
Rfam family: Bacterial small subunit ribosomal RNA
Source: RNAcentral
UACAGAGGUCUCAAGCGUUGUUCGGAUUCAUUGGGCGUAAAGGGUGUGUAGGUGGCGCCGUAAGUGGGGUGUGAAAUCUCGGGGCUUAACUCCGAAACUGCAUUCCAUACUGCGGUGCUUGAGGACUGGAGAGGAGACUGGAAUUCAUGGUGUAGCAGUGAAAUGCGUAGAGAUCAUGAGGAAGACCAGUGGCGAAAGCGGCUUCCUGGUCCAGCAUCGACGUUCAGGCACGAAAGCGUGGGGAGCAAACAGG